AGAGUUUGAUCCUGGCUCAGGACGAACGCUGGCGGCGUGCUUAACACAUGCAAGUCGAACGGAGCACCCUUGACUGAGGUUUCGGCCAAAUGAUAGGAAUGCUUAGUGGCGGACUGGUGAGUAACGCGUGAGGAACCUGCCUUCCAGAGGGGGACAACAGUUGGAAACGACUGCUAAUACCGCAUGAUAUAUUUGAGGGGCAUCCCUUGGAUAUCAAAGAUUUAUCGCUGGAAGAUGGCCUCGCGUCUGAUUAGCUAGUAGGCGGGGUAACGGCCCACCUAGGCGACGAUCAGUAGCCGGACUGAGAGGUUGACCGGCCACAUUGGGACUGAGAUACGGCCCAGACUCCUACGGGAGGCAGCAGUGGGGAAUAUUGCACAAUGGGCGCAAGCCUGAUGCAGCCAUGCCGCGUGUAUGAAGAAGGCCUUCGGGUUGUAAAGUACUUUCAGCGGGGAGGAAGGGAGUAAAGUUAAUACCUUUGCUCAUUGACGUUACCCGCAGAAGAAGCACCGGCUAACUCCGUGCCAGCAGCCGCGGUAAUACGGAGGGUGCAAGCGUUGUCCGG
This 565-nucleotide ribosomal RNA is filed under the name uncultured bacterium. Its description in RNAcentral is "bacterial SSU rRNA". It matches the Rfam family "Bacterial small subunit ribosomal RNA", at positions 8 to 548 of the family's 1533-position model. The record is from RNAcentral.